RNAcentral lists this long non-coding RNA (776 nucleotides) under Coturnix japonica (Japanese quail). Its description in RNAcentral is "lncRNA (ENSCJPG00005001951.1)". Lineage: Eukaryota; Metazoa; Chordata; Aves; Galliformes; Phasianidae. The record is from RNAcentral.
GGCUGUCAAAAUGAAUUACCUUGUAAAUUUAUUUUUUGUAAUUUUUGUUUUCAGAUCUCCUUUGACCUGGACCAUUUGGCUUCAUCUUGAAUACCUUUCUACUUCAAAGAUGUAAUCAUGACCAAGGUCUUUAUGCCGUGGGCUUAAAAUCACUAGCAGGGAGACUGCUACAAUUUCAACUGGAAUAUUUGAUGGACAAAUCCCUUAUCCCAUCUGUUUGCUUAAUCCAGGAUUCUGAAACACGUUCAGUGAACAGGAAAGAUGCUGCAUCAGCAAAAGCAAACAGACAGAUGAGGCUGGCAGUGGAGGACCUGUACAGAUCAGUUGUGAUCAUCAGGAUUGCACAACUUUGCACAAGUGAGAAAUGGACUCUGGACAGCGAGAUCUGCACUAUAAGACAACCCUGUCCAGAUAACGCCACAGCAUUUGGAGAGUCUGAGCAUACCUCAGUGGCCCUACACUCCCAGCACACAAAGCCAUCUGCAGCCACCAGUCAUUUGGAGCAACCUCUCACAUGCUGGCUUUCCUACAGGGAUUUUCUCACAGCAGGACCAGCCCCCCUUCCAGCACAUCACAGGUGUUCUCCACAUGGUGUGAGCAGGUGAGAGCGUGACUUUGCCAACCCAUGAUGAAGUUUGGUAGCUGAAAUACAAAAUCCAAGUUUGGCCUGAGAUCUGAAUCUGGCACUCAGCUUCAUCCUCUACUCUGAGCCAAAUCAAACUGUAGCACAUCAUGAAAUCCAAACACCACUGUGCUCUGGGUCACUUAAGAUCUGG